GACGGAGGAUCCAAGCGUUAUCCGGAAUCAUUGGGCUUAAAGGGUCCGUAGGCGGUUUUGUAAGUCAGUGGUGAAAGCCCAUCGCUCAACGGUGGAACGGCCAUUGAUACUGCAAGACUUGAAUUAUUAGGAAGUAACUAGAAUAUGUAGUGUAGCGGUGAAAUGCUUAGAGAUUACAUGGAAUACCAAUUGCGAAGGCAGGUUACUGCUAAUUGAUUGACGCUGAUGGACGAAAGCGUGGGGAGCGAACAGG
Molecule: ribosomal RNA, 253 nt
Filed under: uncultured bacterium
Lineage: Bacteria
Description: partial 16S ribosomal RNA
Rfam family: Bacterial small subunit ribosomal RNA
Source: RNAcentral